Molecule: ribosomal RNA, 433 nt
Filed under: uncultured bacterium
Lineage: Bacteria
Description: partial 16S ribosomal RNA
Rfam family: Bacterial small subunit ribosomal RNA
Source: RNAcentral
AACGAACGCUGGCGGCAUGCCUAACACAUGCAAGUCGAACGAGACCUUCGGGUCUAGUGGCGCACGGGUGCGUAACGCGUGGGAACCUGCCCUUAGGUUCGGAAUAACUCCCCGAAAGGGGUGCUAAUACCGGAUAAUGUCUUCGGACCAAAGAUUUAUCGCCUUUGGAUGGGCCCGCGUUGGAUUAGCUAGUUGGUAGGGUAAAAGCCUACCAAGGCGACGCUCCAUAGCUGGUCUGAGAGGAUGAUCAGCCACACUGGGACUGAGACACGGCCCAGACUCCUACGGGAGGCAGCAGUGGGGAAUAUUGGACAAUGGGCGAAAGCCUGAUCCAGCAAUGCCGCGUGAGUGAUGAAGGCCUUAGGGUUGAAAAGCUCUUUUACCCGGGAUGAUAAUGACAGUACCGGGAGAAUAAGCUCCGGCUAACUCCGUG